GGCUCUUUGUUACAUAUUAAUAAAGAGUCGGACCUGCCCAGUGAAUUUUUUCAACGGCCGCGGUACUCUGACCGUGCAAAGGUAGCAUAAUCAUUUGCCUUAUAACUGAAGGCUAGUAUGAAUGGUUUGACAAGAGUAUAACUGUCUCUUUGUAAUUAAUUAGAACUUUAUUUUUAGGUGAAGAAGCCUAUAUUAAAUUGAAAGACAAGAAGACCCUAUCGAGCUUUAAAGAAGUUGAUAAAUCUAAUUUUAAAUAAAGCAUUAAUAUUAUUUAUCAAAAAUUUUAGUUGGGGCGACUAAGGAACAAAAAAAGCUUCCUUUAAAAACUGAAAUUAAAACGUACAAGUAUUGAUCCAAAAUCUUUGAUUAGAGGAAUUAGUUACCGUAGGGAUAACAGCAUUAUCCUCUUUGAGAGUUCAUAUCGAAAAGAGGGCUUGUGACCUCGAUGUUGGACCAGAAUGUCCUAAAGAUGCAGCCGUCUUUAAGGGUUGGUCUGUUCGACCAUUAAAAUUCUACGUGAUCUGAGUUCAGACCGGCGUGAGCCAGGUCAGUUUCUAUCUUCAAUUUUCCUAAAUAAACUUAGUACGAAAGGACCAGAUUAUUGUAAGUGAUUGCUAGAGAUGUAGAUAAAAUAUAAUUUAUUACAUAAGUAUUUAAAUUUAAUUCAUUUUUUAAUCAAAUUAGCAAAGAUAAUGCAAUUGACUUAGGAUCAAUAGACAUAGGUGAAACCCCUUUAUUUGAUAUGUAUAAAUUAAAACAGAUAAAUAAUAAAGGUGGCAGAAUAAA
This 786-nucleotide ribosomal RNA is filed under the name Haustellum haustellum. RNAcentral's name for it is "partial 16S ribosomal RNA". The stretch from base 1 to 587 matches the Rfam family "Bacterial large subunit ribosomal RNA", at positions 1817 to 2925 of the family's 2925-position model. Lineage: Eukaryota; Metazoa; Mollusca; Gastropoda; Neogastropoda; Muricidae. The record is from RNAcentral.